This 250-nucleotide ribosomal RNA is filed under the name uncultured bacterium. RNAcentral's name for it is "partial 16S ribosomal RNA". It matches the Rfam family "Bacterial small subunit ribosomal RNA", at positions 525 to 775 of the family's 1533-position model. The record is from RNAcentral.
ACGGGGGAUGCGAGCGUUAUCCGGAUUCAUUGGGUUUAAAGGGAGCGUAGGCGGCCCGACAAGUCAGCGGUAAAAGACUGCAGCUAAACUGUAGCGCGCCGUUGAAACUGCCGGGCUAGAGUGCAGACGAGGUUGGCGGAACAGGUGAAGUAGCGGUGAAAUGCAUAGAUAUCACCUGGAACCCCGACAGCGAAGGCAGCUGACCAGGCUGUAACUGACGCUGAUGCUCGAGAGCGUGGGUAGCGAACAG